UAUUCCUCCUCAACACAUGUCCAAACCAUCUCAAGCUGGCCUCUCUGGCUUUAUCUCCAAACUGCUCCACCGGCUGAUGUGGUGAAAUACUGCAACUCCUGUCCUGCAUGCCAGGUUGCUGGAAAACCUAAUCAGGGCAUUCUUCCUGUUCCCCUGCAUCCAGUUUCUGCUGUAGUCCUCCCUGUCUCUAGGUGGAGCUCUAUCCAGGCUGAAGGCUGGUGAGUGCAAUGGGAGAAGCACUUCCUGGAGAAUACCAUGACGGAGGCGGAAAUUGAAGCGAGGAGAGGGGAACUAACCUGGCUGUUGAUUUGUGCUCUGUGUGUGCUCUGAGUCUGUGGACUCCUCGGCAGACGUGGACUGUGAAUAGUGUAAACCAUGCUACGCUAAAUUGGUGCUAAAUUGGUGCUAAAUUGACUAUUUUGUCACCGCUGCUGGAAAGGGGUAAGCGCCAUUUUAUUUGUAGGCUCUUUUUUUUGGUUUUGGGCUAGUUGGGGAGUCAGGGAAGUUAUCUGGUUUCUUUGUUUUGUUGGGUUUAGGUGAGUUAGAUUUGGGUUGGAAGUUAAUGUUGGGUUUUGUUUAUUUUGGCCUUUUGCUUACCCCUGGAGAUCCGUUGACUUUUUCACUAACAGUUAUUGGCUGUAUCAAUUCUAUCUUUGUUGUAAAUAGUCUGAACAUGAAA
Molecule: long non-coding RNA, 679 nt
Organism: Pygocentrus nattereri (red-bellied piranha)
Lineage: Eukaryota; Metazoa; Chordata; Actinopteri; Characiformes; Serrasalmidae
Exons: 2
Source: RefSeq, a predicted model, not a curated record